This 254-nucleotide ribosomal RNA is filed under the name uncultured bacterium. RNAcentral's name for it is "partial 16S ribosomal RNA". It matches the Rfam family "Bacterial small subunit ribosomal RNA", at positions 524 to 776 of the family's 1533-position model. The record is from RNAcentral.
UACGGAGGGUGCAAGCGUUAUCCGGAUUCACUGGGUUUAAAGGGUGCGUAGGUGGGUUGGUAAGUCAGUGGUGAAAUCUCUGAGCUUAACUCAGAACGGCCAAGUGAUACUGCAGUGCUAGAGUGCAGAAAGGGCAAUCGGAAUUCUUGGUGUAGCGGUGAAAUGCGUAGAUAUCAAGAGGAGCACCUGAGGCGAAGGCGGGUUGCUAGGCUGACACUGACGCUGAGUGCGCGAAAGCCAGGGGAGCAAACGGG